This 85-nucleotide transfer RNA is filed under the name rhizosphere metagenome. It matches the Rfam family "tRNA". From Rfam's summary of the family: Transfer RNA (tRNA) molecules are approximately 80 nucleotides in length. Their secondary structure includes four short double-helical elements and three loops (D, anti-codon, and T loops). The record is from RNAcentral.
GUCGAGGUGGCGGAAUGGUAGACGCCCGACACUUAAAAUGUCGUGAGUAGAAAUACUCGUAUGGGUUCGAGUCCCAUCCUCGACA